GGGGUGCUCUUGAGUCGUGACAAACUUGUUAUCAGAGCAUAAGGUUUUGAGAAUGGUCUUAGGUUGUCUCAAACCACAUCUAGUAGAGCCUUGUUCAUAAUGUGAAGCGCGCCACAUUAUGAAUAGCAUGUUAUCAGGUGCUAAGAAUGUUUCACCUCUUCAUUCUUCAAGUCGUGCCAUAGAGUUUCGCUCUAUAAUGUCUUUCCCUUGUUCCUUAUGUGAUGG
Molecule: long non-coding RNA, 225 nt
Filed under: Solanum tuberosum (potato)
Lineage: Eukaryota; Viridiplantae; Streptophyta; Magnoliopsida; Solanales; Solanaceae
Description: long non-coding RNA (STUB_LNC011364)
Source: RNAcentral